This is a long non-coding RNA of Lacerta agilis (Sand lizard), 1436 nucleotides long. RefSeq lists it as uncharacterized. The record is from RefSeq and is a predicted model, not a curated record. The transcript has 3 exons. NCBI's taxonomy places the organism in Eukaryota, Metazoa, Chordata, Lepidosauria, Squamata, Lacertidae.
AAGCAUAUCUAUCUCGGGUUCCUUUCAACUUAGUGACCUGGGCUCCUCUAAGGCAGCCAGGGUUGGCUGUAAAAAUCAAUUUUCUGAGCUCCAAUCUUGCUUCCCUCUUUAGCACAGAUAUUAUUGGACCUUCGCUACCCCUGGGAAAUGAGAAAAAGUGAAGGGUAUAUUGAGGAUGUGCACAAAGCAAGUGGGCGCUAUUCUGGGUUUUGAUCUCCUUUUGCCUCCCCUUGCAGCUUGUGGCUUGGCUGACUUGCUGGAGCUAUCUUCUUUGGAAGCACGUGGGUGCCCUGAAGCUGUUCCUCACUGUACUUCUCGGAACCUGCAGCGCUGCAUCGCUAAUAUUUGAGAGCAAUACCGCAUGGAGGAGAGUCGCGAGGUAUCGGAGCCCCAUUUCAUUAAUCCAGCGAGAGGAAGCGUGUAUGCCCUCCGGAAGAGGGUUAUUUCUCUGAAGAAAUGAUGAGCAUCACAAACAACCAUCCACUGUCUUUUAUCUGGCUGUUCAACGUUGAUAACCUGGGUCAAUGUGCAGUGAACCAUUCUGAGCAUCUCUUCAUACUGCAGUGGAAAUGGGGAGAAUAAUCACUACUCAGUGCUCAGAAGGCAUAAGUAUAGGCCAGGUGGCAGGUGUCUGAGUAAUGACAACAUAUAGUCAACAAGAUGGAGAACUUUGUAUCAUGCUACAGCAGGCACCAGGUGGACAGAUUUGUGCUGACAUUGCACAGAUACCCAAGAAGCACUACAAGUGUUAAAUUAAUCCACGAUUGUUCCAGUGGCUCAUUGAUGGGUUUGUUCCUUCCAUGCAGAUGACAGAAUUGUAAUCACACCUGUUGUCAUGCUGGUUGGUGUUGUGGAUUUCAUAGCAUAGCCAUUCAUUGGGACACAGCCAGCUUAUGGUGUAGUGCAAAUCACUGAGGGCAGCUGAGGUGACAGUGGAAUAACUUUUAACUGGGUGCAGAGCUAGUGGAAACUGAUUAUAUACUUGGUCACCCAAGGAGUACCAAGUAGCAGGCAAUUUGUUUCCUAUUCAAACAAGGUAGCCAAUAUAUGUACUUCGUUAAUCUGCUUCAGAGCAUAUUGACUGCCUCAAAUUACAUAUUUAAGUAUUUUAAUGCUGUCAAAGACUUCUGUAGUGUCUACGCAAAUGUUUUGGGAGUCAUAGCUCAGGGGCAGGGUGUAUGUUUUGUGUGCAGAAGGUCACUGGUUUAAUCUCCAGUAUCUUUAGGUAGGGUUGGGAUUAAUUUUCUUGUCUGAAACUUGGAGAGCCUCUGUAGUGAGCUACAUGGAGCUACUGGUCUGAUUCAGUAUAAGGCAGCUUCUUAUGCUCAAAACAAGACAUGCACAGAGAGGAAGUUAGUCAUCAGGGUGCUAGGAUAGCCAUAGCUAUUAGAGACCAGUGUAAGUUUUAGAACCUUUUUUGCAAUAAAUUUUGAAAU